This 186-nucleotide small RNA is filed under the name Actinoplanes friuliensis. RNAcentral describes it as "c-di-AMP sequence". It matches the Rfam family "c-di-AMP riboswitch aptamer (ydaO/yuaA leader)". From Rfam's summary of the family: This family represents a conserved RNA structure found upstream of the ydaO and yuaA genes in Bacillus subtilis and related genes in other bacteria. The ydaO/yuaA element is thought to act as a genetic "off" switch for the ydaO and yuaA genes in its native state. Lineage: Bacteria; Bacillati; Actinomycetota; Actinomycetes; Micromonosporales; Micromonosporaceae. The record is from RNAcentral. RNAcentral also lists the same sequence under 1 other name.
CGGUCGGUAACGCCGAAUCCUGCCGCCGACCGGGCCGGGACCUUUAUCGAAUGGCAUGGAGCGGGGGACCCACACGUUCCCCGGCACGCGCUUGCCGCGUGCCUCGGGGUGAAGCCGCGCACCCGGCGGCCGGGCAACCUCAGCCCGAACCCGACAGCUGACCUCGCAGGCGUGGAGGUUGUACAC